AAUAGAUACCCCGGUAGUCCACGCCGUAAACGAUGGGUGCUAGCUGUUAUGCGUAUCGACCCGUGUAGUAGCGAAGCUAACGCGUUAAGCAUCCCGCCUGGGGAGUACGAACGCAAGUUUAAAACUCAAAGGAAUUGACGGGGACCCGCACAAGCGGUGGAGCGUGUUCUUUAAUUCGAGGCUAAGCGAAGAACCUUACCAGGGCUUGACAUCCUUGGAAUUUCUCCGAAAGGAGAGAGUACUUUAUUGGACCAAGUGACAGGUGCUGCAUGGCCGUCGUCAGCUCGUGUCGUGAGAUGUUUGGUUAAGUCCAUUAACGAGCGCAACCCUUAUGAAUAGUUGUAUUUUUCUAUUCAGACUGCCCCGGUAGCGGGGAGGAAGGGGGGGAUGAUGUCAGGUCAGUAUUGCCCUUACGCCCUGGGCUAGAAACGCGCUACAAUGGCCGGUACAAUGCGCUGCCAACCCGGCGAGGGGGGGUCAAAUCGCAUCAAAGCCGGUCCCAGUUCGGAUAAGAGGCUGAAACUCGCCUCUUUGAAGCCGGAAUCGCUAGUAAUCGU
This 557-nucleotide ribosomal RNA is filed under the name uncultured bacterium. Its description in RNAcentral is "bacterial SSU rRNA". It matches the Rfam family "Bacterial small subunit ribosomal RNA", at positions 777 to 1345 of the family's 1533-position model. The record is from RNAcentral.